GACGAACGCUGGCGGCGUGCUUAACACAUGCAGGUCGAACGGAAAGGCCCUGCUUUUGUGGGGUGCUCGAGUGGCGAACGGGUGAGUAACACGUGAGUAACCUGCCCUUGACUUUGGGAUAACUUCAGGAAACUGGGGCUAAUACCGGAUAGGAGCUCCUGCUGCAUGGUGGGGGUUGGAAAGUUUCGGCGGUUGGGGAUGGACUCGCGGCUUAUCAGCUUGUUGGUGGGGUAGUGGCUUACCAAGGCUUUGACGGGUAGCCGGCCUGAGAGGGUGACCGGCCACAUUGGGACUGAGAUACGGCCCAGACUCCUACGGGAGGCAGCAGUGGGGAAUAUUGCACAAUGGGCGGAAGCCUGAUGCAGCAACGCCGCGUGCGGGGUGACGGCCUUCGGGUUGUAAACCGCUUUCGCCUGUGACGAAGCGUGAGUGACGGUAAUGGGUAAAGAAGCACCGGCUAACUACGUG
Molecule: ribosomal RNA, 468 nt
Filed under: uncultured bacterium
Lineage: Bacteria
Description: partial 16S ribosomal RNA
Rfam family: Bacterial small subunit ribosomal RNA
Source: RNAcentral